GACGAACGCUGGCGGCGUGCUUAACACAUGCAAGUCGAACGGUGAUGCUCCAGCUUGCUGGAGUGGAUCAGUGGCGAACGGGUGAGUAACACGUGAGCAACCUGCCCCAGACUCUGGAAUAAGCGCUGGAAACGGCGUCUAAUACUGGAUACGAAACUGGCCCGCAUGGGCAUGGUUUGGAAGGUUUUUCGGUUUGGGAUGGGCUCGCGGCCUAUCAGCUUGUUGGUGGGGUAAUGGCUCACCAAGGCGACGACGGGUAGCCGGCCUGAGAGGGCGACCGGCCACACUGGGACUGAGACACGGCCCAGACUCCUACGGGAGGCAGCAGUGGGGAAUAUUGCACAAUGGGCGGAAGCCUGAUGCAGCGACGCCGCGUGAGGGAUGACGGCCUUCGGGUUGUAAACCUCUUUCAGCAGGGAAGAAGCGAAAGUGACGGUACCUGCAGAAGAAGCACCGGCUAACUACGUG
RNAcentral lists this ribosomal RNA (468 nucleotides) under uncultured bacterium. RNAcentral's name for it is "partial 16S ribosomal RNA". It matches the Rfam family "Bacterial small subunit ribosomal RNA", at positions 28 to 507 of the family's 1533-position model. The record is from RNAcentral.